RNAcentral lists this long non-coding RNA (673 nucleotides) under Anser brachyrhynchus (Pink-footed goose). RNAcentral describes it as "lncRNA (ENSABRG00000018172.1)". Lineage: Eukaryota; Metazoa; Chordata; Aves; Anseriformes; Anatidae. The record is from RNAcentral.
AUGGCGCGGCGCGGGGCGGGGACAUGGCGGCGUCCUGCCCGUGGUCGGCCCGCAGGCCUGUCGGAGCCACCUGCGUGUUGGGUCGUAUUUUGUAAGAAGCAAGAAACGUUUUGUUCUCUGAAGAGCAAACUUUACUUUCAUUUGACCGUGGUUCCAGUCGGGUUUGGCCAAAACAAGGAUCUCUGUUCUCAGCCAGGACCAACCGAGGUGGCAGAAGCUACAUUCCCCUUACCUUACCCCAGGUAAUGCCUUUCUUUUAGGGCUCGCUAUUAAUUUUAAAAUUUUCCAUUUAAAAUUUCAAGGUGGUUGUUCUCUUCAGCCUUGAGCAUUUCACCUUCCAUCAGCAAAAAAUGAAGUUCAGCAAAGCCAGAACAGCUGGGUCUGUCCCCCAGCCCCAAGUACCACUCUGCUAGCUCAAAGGGAACAUUGUGCAGGCAAAACCCAUCAUCCUGAAACAUGACAUUUCCAGCUGUAGUGCCAGGUACCUAGGGAUAGGAUUUGGCCCUAAAGUACUUGAAUCAUCCCAUGCUAAAGACAGGUUUUUGUUUCAUUACCUUUGAUGGGAGUUGCAUCAGGCUCUGCAGGAGCCAGAGCUGCCCUUUGCAUCUUCUCCGUUUUAUGGUAACACACUCGUAAUUAAAUCUUAUCUAAAGUGCUCGAGAGCAGUUCUUGA